Molecule: long non-coding RNA, 2076 nt
Organism: Esox lucius (northern pike)
Lineage: Eukaryota; Metazoa; Chordata; Actinopteri; Esociformes; Esocidae
Source: Ensembl
UGUUAAGCUACAAUGGUAGCUGGAGAAUGAUGGUAUCUGGCUAGCCGACAUCAAACCGAUAAAGGGAGAGACUUUAUCGGUAAUCGAGAGGGAGGAUAUAUCUGUUAAAAGAGGAUGCUGUGUUUGGAGUGAAAGAGAAGGAUGAGAUUACCGUCACUUUGAAGGAAGAAGAGGAACAGACUGGAGAUCCAAAUAACUACUAACAAAUCUCAAACCCAGGCUCAGAGAGCGGUCCCAGUUCCACAGCAUCAACAAACUGCAAACAAGGCAGGAAGACUUAGAGAACAUCAAAGAGUACAUACAGGGGAGAAGCCUCACCACUGUACCCAAUGUGGGAGGAGUUUCAGCUGGGCAGGAAUUCUUAAGAUGUAUAGAAGAAUUUAUACAGGGGAGAAACCUUUCCAAUGCACUGUGUAAGAAGAGGUUUACAAGAGAAGUGGCUCUAAAGAUUCAUGAAAGAGUCCACACUGGAGAGAAACCCUUCUGCUGCUCCACGUGUGGCAAGUGUUUUAGUGGAAAAUUAAACCUUAAUAGACACGAGAGUCCAUAGUGGUGAGAAGCCUUAUUUCUGUACAAAUUGUGGAAAGUGCUUAAGUAAUUCAAGAACCCUUAAAACACCAGCGGAUACAUACAGGGGAGAAACAAUACCACUGUUCUCUGCAGGAAGAAUUUCCUUUUUGCCGGAGACCUACAGAAACAUCAGAGAUCACAUAGUAGGGAAAAGCCUUAUCGCUGCUUUGUGUGUCAGAAAAGUUUUACUCAGCUCCCAAUGUUGAAAUAAUUUCCUUGUGGAGGAAGAAACAUGAGAGAAUGCAUAUUCAAGUGAAACCUACCUUUACUUUGAAUGUGAUUAUUAAGGAGGAGGGAGAAGAGAGAGAAAUUAAGAAAGAGGAAACAUAAGCUAUCUAUAUAAAUGUGAAGGCCUCCUAUCGUUUCUUCCUUCCAGUUUGUUUCUGACGGGGGAGCACCAUUGAUGGCUAUCUCUAUUUUUAAGUAGGUCUCUUGUGACUCUGUUGCUGAUAUAGCAUGGCGAAUGUGAAGUUCUGGGUUCAAUUCCCAGGAUAAAAAAGUAUGCUUCAAACAAUGUAUGUCCCUCCGGACAAAAGAAACUGCCAAGUGACUUACCUGAAUGUAUAUUAUUUUACUUUCAAGACUGUAUUGCAAGUCUGUAAAUAAACUUCAUAGGUAAUACUGACUACCUUGAACAGUGAAGUGUGUAUAUUCUAAACAGGUAUAAUGUGAAGAGCCUGGAUGCAACACAAACUCAAGUUAUACAUUUAGCAUCUUCUGAAGGCUGAUUAACCUGCUUUCAGAUUGUCCAGGAUGAGUUCAACCUGCAGUUGUGGCAUGUUUUUGAGUCUAAAUCAUUGUCUGACACCUACUAGCUGCAAUUGAAAUUUGUUCUAUCAUUCCUUAACUUGCUUCCAAUGUUUCACCCAGUUGACUUCAAAGUACUAACUGUCUGCAAGAGUUUGCCAGAAGCCAUGUGGAUAACGCUGACACCGAAUGGACAAAGAUGCUGUGCUUUUUGGUUUCAAUGCUAACACCGCAUAUCAUCCUGAGAACACCAUCCCUACCAUGAAGCAUGGUGGUGGCAGCAUCAUACUAUGGGGAUGCUUCUUUCAUCAGGGCUUGUGAGGAAAACCUGAAGUCGUCAUGCUUCUUUCAUCAGGGCUUGUGAGGAAAACCUGAAGUCGUCAUGCUUCUUUCAUCAGGGCUUGUGAGGAAAACCUGAAGUCGUCAUUCAUCUUCCAUCAGGAUAAUGAUGCUAGAGUGGCUUAAAAACAAGAAAGUUCAAUGUGCUGGAGUGGCACAUUCAAAGCUCGGACCACUCUCCAAUUGACAGAAUGUGGAAAGAGUUAAAUAGCUGUUUACCAAAGGUCCCUUUCUAACUUGAUGGGCCUGAGCAAAUUUGCAGAGCUGGUAGAGACAUCUGAAUGAACUCAUGACUGUAAUCGCUGCCAAAGGUCCCUCAACCAAAUACUGACUGAAGGGUUUAAAUACUUGUACAAUCAAUUAAUUUUCUGUUUUGUAUUUGCAGUUCAUUUUGAACAGUUUUUCACUUUAUUUUCUUUG